CCAAACCUUUAUUGAAGCUCAAACUACGGGGGUGAGAAGGGUGGGGAGGGGCAGACCCCCAAAGUGGGGCUAAAAACCCCCACGUGGGGCCAAAGCCGCGCCGUGGGGCUCAGCCCCCACCCCUGUCCCCCUAUAACGGAACUGCGGUCCCCCAUUGCCUUGUGGGGGAGUGAUCCCCUCCCGAAGAAACAGAGUCCCAAUGGAUGCGGUGUGGUCCUGCAGGGAGGCUGUCCCGUCACUCCUCCUUUUUGUCUCGGGGGCCAUCGUGGGCUGCCUGCAGCCGUGCGUGCUGCUCCAGCAGCCGGUCAUACUCCCGUGUCAGCCCCUCUGCCUGCCGCCGCAUGGCCUGCACCUCAUUCUCCGCCUUCUCCAGAGUGCGCUUGCUGGCUGCCAGCUCCUCCUUCAGUUUCUCCACUUUUGCCUUCAGGCUCUCAUUCUCGGCCCGGCUAGGGGGGGCCGUGUCCUCUCCUGCCUCUUGCAGCUGCUUGCGCAAGGCCUCAUUGUCCUCCAUGUAGCGCCGUGCUGCCUGGCUCGCCCCCUCCGCCUGCUUGCGGAACGCUUGGCUGGAGGCCCCGAGCAGCGCUUGCUGCGAGAUCAGGGUGACCAAACGCCGCAGCAGGAAGGAGAGCAGCAGAGCAAAGCCAGCCAAGUAGAGGUUGCGUUGGGCGCGGAACAGCCGCAUGUGGAAGUGCUCCAAAGCCCCCGGGGUGGUGGGGAGCGCUGCCCGCUCAGAGGCGUUGUACUUACGGGUCUCCCUAUAGGCAUCCAGCAGGAGCAGGACGAGGAUGACGAUGAGCACCACGAAGGCUGUGUUGCCGUAGGCCACCGCCAGCCCCACCAGGCGCGACUUGAAGAUCUUCUGCCAUCUGGUGGGGGACACGAAGGGGACGCAGAGCAGGAGGACGAGGAAGACCUCAGCGUAGAGGAAGGUGGCGACGACCGUCCACUGCAGACUCAUGGCGUCCCGCCGGCCUCUCCCG
This 980-nucleotide long non-coding RNA is filed under the name Gallus gallus (chicken). The record is from RNAcentral. Lineage: Eukaryota; Metazoa; Chordata; Aves; Galliformes; Phasianidae.